UUUACAGAAGAGAAAAUACACUCACAGAAAUUUGAACUCUGAAAUAGGAUACACCAUCCUCUGUAAAA
RNAcentral lists this transfer RNA (68 nucleotides) under unidentified. RNAcentral describes it as "Discoporella cookae tRNA-Gln". The record is from RNAcentral.